GCAGGUGCCGGGGGGCAGAAUGUCUCCUUAGCUCUUCUCUUGUUGGCUGGAUGAGGGGCGACUUUCCCUAAUUCCUCUGGAAGGGCUCGCAGGCAGCUCCCAGGUGGGAGUGGGGCAGCUGUCAAGCGCUAAGAAAGCGGGCUGCUGCCUGUUGUUUCCCUGCCGGGAUAAGGAGCUGCCAAGUGCAGAGGAGAGGCAAGCCAGCAUCAGAGCUAGCGAGCAGCUACAGAUCAUGCUCUGCUGAUUCUCAGAGAAGAAAAAAAGCUCUCUGUGGGACUCCAGAGG
Mauremys reevesii (Reeves's turtle) is the source of this 285-nucleotide long non-coding RNA. RefSeq lists it as uncharacterized. The transcript has 3 exons. The record is from RefSeq and is a predicted model, not a curated record. Lineage: Eukaryota; Metazoa; Chordata; Testudines; Geoemydidae.